Molecule: ribosomal RNA, 431 nt
Filed under: uncultured bacterium
Lineage: Bacteria
Description: partial 16S ribosomal RNA
Rfam family: Bacterial small subunit ribosomal RNA
Source: RNAcentral
ACGAACGCUGGCGGCAGGCUUAACACAUGCAAGUCGAACGGAUCCUUCGGGAUUAGUGGCAGACGGGUGAGUAACGCGUGGGAACGUACCCUUUGCUACGGAAUAACUCAGGGAAACUUGAGCUAAUACCGUAUGUGCCCUACGGGGGAAAGAUUUAUCGGCAAAGGAUCGGCCCGCGUUGGAUUAGCUAGUUGGUGGGGUAAUGGCCUACCAAGGCGACGAUCCAUAGCUGGUCUGAGAGGAUGAUCAGCCACACUGGGACUGAGACACGGCCCAGACUCCUACGGGAGGCAGCAGUGGGGAAUAUUGGACAAUGGGCGCAAGCCUGAUCCAGCCAUGCCGCGUGAGUGACGAAGGUCUUAGGAUUGUAAAGCUCUUUCACCGGUGAAGAUAAUGACGGUAGCCGGAGAAGAAACCCCGGCGAACUUCGU